GGUAAUUGUUGAACCAUUAUUUUGAUUUGUUUGACUAAAUCUAUAUCUUGUUGAUUAAAAUAUCUUUGUCCUGUUUGUGAAGUUUUGUUAUACAAAGGUCCACUUAUUUUGCCAAUAUCUUUCAAAUAGGGCCUUGCAUAAAAUUAAGUAUGCCUAAAAAUGAUCUAAGUGUUUUGAUGUCUUCCAUUUUAUCAGGGAAGUCUAAGAUUUUGCUGGUGAUAUAAGCUUGAAGUGUUAUCUUAUCUUAACCUAUAAGAUGACCUAAAAAGUCAAUAUAAGGAACUGCCAAUUUUAUUUUUCUUAUGGAAACAAUUAACCCAUGUUGUUCGAAGAGGUUAAAAAUCAUGUGUAAAUGUGCAUAAUGUUCUUUUAUUUUAGAGAAUACCAUAACAUCAUCAAUGUAUACACAUGUAAAGUCCGUCAUAGAUCUAAAUAUGUCAUCCAUCUGAGGGGCUACUUUUAACCCAAACGGCAUAACUAGGCAUUCAAAAUGGCCUUCAAGGAAAGAAAACGUUGUCCAGGGAAUGGAUUCUGGAUGCAUUUUAACUUGCCAAAAACCUGAUUUCAUAUCAAAUUUCGAAUACCAUUUAGAUUUUUGAAUUUUAUUGAGUAAUUGAUCUGUAUCUGGUAUUUUAUACCUAUCUUCAUGACAAUUAUCAUUAAGUCUUUUAUAGUUGAAAAUCAUCCUAGACUGUCCUCUUUUCUACUCAGCUCCUUUAUUGACUAUAAAAGCAAGACUUCUAUGUCGUGAAUCAGAUCAUUGUAUGGAUUUUAAUACUAGGAAUUGAGUAAUAUGCAUCUUGCAUUCUUCUAUAUCCCAAUUGGAGUAUUUUAAGUCUUGUGCUUUGAGGAUUAAGUCAGGAUUGAUAAUAUUGAGUUUACAAUAUACUUUAUUUUUUUCCCAGUAUUUGAGGGGAUUUUCACCAAGAAUUUCUAUUUUUUCUAGUCUAGAAAUGACAGCAUCUAAUGUGUCUUUCUUACUAAGUAGUGUAUUUAAAAAGGAGGGCUUGAAACCAUCUUGAUAGUAAGUUUCUGGUUCACAUGUGACCUCCAAGUCAGGUAUAUUUUCGCAACUACUUUCAGCUUCGGGGCUCCAAGAGCCAAGUCUAUCUAGUUUUCCUGUAAGGAAAGCGUAACUUUAGGUUUCUUAAUUUUUUCUUUAGGUUGGCUAGGGUUACAAGGAUAGGAUAAGGUAGAGGAAGUAGGAUUGCAACUUUCAGCAGGAGAACAAGCAGCAACACAAGGUGAGAAGUAAUGUUAAGAUAACAGAAGAAGACAUCAUUCGAGCUGCACAGAUCAUUCUCCCAAUGACCAACGCUGCCUUUGCAAAGAUUCAAGAGAUCCUCUGUGGAGAUCCAUUGAGGACUCUGCAAAUUGCACCUAUUCUCCUAUCUGGGACCAUGUAUGGCCACUUGAUAACCCUAAGGAGGUUCUUUGCAACUUGUUUUUUUGUGAGUUCUACUUUGCCAUAACUCUAUUCUUGCUACUCACAUCAGAUUCAUUGCAAAGUUGAGAGCAGCUUAUAUUGCAUUCAAGAAGCAUGGAAAUCUUGACCGCGCAAAAAACUAAUAGCAGUCUCCACAGCCACAUUAUUUUGGAAUUUGUUCAGUGUCAGGUCGCGUAUCUUUGCAAGUACAAGAACAGACUUAUGAUGUUCAUAUGUUAUUUCUCAAGCAUUUUUUUCAGUGGUAAUACUUAGGUAUAACCAUCAACACCUAGAAGAUAGCGGGAAGGUAGAAAGUAAAGACGAGAUUCAUCAAGCUGAUUUACCUUUAGAACAAGAACAAGUUCAACUAUGAAGCCCAUGUAUAUUUAGUGUUGAGCUAAUCCUUGACUUUUAGACCAAACAUUCUGAUGUUAUCAUUUUGUUCAAGUGCGUGCUCUUGAAAUCUGUAUUUCUGUGUUGUAAUAUGAACUACAAAUGCAACUCUUUAUUUUUAAAAAAAGUUAGUCAGCUCUUAAGCACCAUCCAAAUGAUGAUAAGAGAGAGAUUAUUGGAUAAAUUGGGCAGGACAACAAUUCUGCUGCUCAUACUGAUAAAUUCAGGUGUGUAAGAUGACUUUCAUUGAAUGUUCUUUUUUAUAUGUAUUACAAGGGUCUUUAAUGGUCAUUAC
Molecule: long non-coding RNA, 2114 nt
Organism: Zingiber officinale
Lineage: Eukaryota; Viridiplantae; Streptophyta; Magnoliopsida; Zingiberales; Zingiberaceae
Exons: 5
Source: RefSeq, a predicted model, not a curated record